RNAcentral lists this ribosomal RNA (338 nucleotides) under Echo modesta. RNAcentral describes it as "partial 12S ribosomal RNA". Lineage: Eukaryota; Metazoa; Arthropoda; Insecta; Odonata; Calopterygidae. The record is from RNAcentral.
GUAUUAGUUAUGUUCUUAAAACCCAAAGGAUUUGGCGGUAUUUUAUUCCUUUCAGAGGAGCCUGUCCUGUAAUCGAUAGUACACGAUGCUUUAUACUUACCUUUGUUUUCAGUUUGUAUACCUCCGUCAUAAGGGUGUCUUUUUAGAGUCAAUUCCCUUUUUCAUUUAAUAUUUCUAUGUCAGGUCAAGGUGCAGCUUAUGGGUAAGUUGAGAUGGGCUACAAUAAAUUUAUUUAUACGAAUAUUAUUCUUUAGUUGCUUAGUUGAAGGUGGAUUUGAGAGUAAAUCUUUUUUGUUAUGGUGGUUGAACUUGCUUCUAAAAUAUGCACACAUCGACCG